Molecule: ribosomal RNA, 253 nt
Filed under: uncultured bacterium
Lineage: Bacteria
Description: partial 16S ribosomal RNA
Rfam family: Bacterial small subunit ribosomal RNA
Source: RNAcentral
CACGUAGGGGGCGAGCGUUGUUCGGAAUCAUUGGGCGUAAAGGGCGUGCAGGCGGUCCUGCAAGUCCGGCGUGAAAGACCCCGGCCCAACCGGGGGGACGCGCUGGAAACUGCGGGGCUUGAGUACAGGAGGGGAUGCCGGAAUUCCAGGUGUAGGGGUGAAAUCUGUAGAUAUCUGGAAGAACACCAAUGGCGAAGGCAGGCAUCUGGCCAUGUACUGACGCUGAGACGCGAAGGUGCGGGGAGCAAACAGG